GAUGAAGAACGGAGCGAAAUGCGAUAAGUAAUGUGAAUUGCAGAAUUCAGUGAAUCAUCGAAUCUUUGAACGCACCUUGCGCCCUUUGGCCAUUCCGAAGGGCAUGCCUGUUUGAGUAUCAUGAACACCUCAACUCUUCAUGGUUUUCCGUGAUGAGCUUGGACUUUGGGGGUCUUGCUGGCCUAUGGUCAGCUCCUCUAAAAUAAAUCAGCUUGCCAGUGUUUGGUGGGUAUCACAGGUGUGAUAACUAUCUACGCUUGUGGUUUUCCACCAGGUAACCUUCAGCAGUGGAGGUUCUCUGGAGCUCACAGAUGUGUCUCUCCUCAGUGAGGACAGCUCUUUGAAUGUUUGAUCUCAAAUCAGGUAGGACUACCCGCUGAACUUAAGCAUAUCAAUAAGCGGGGGA
This 406-nucleotide unclassified non-coding RNA is filed under the name soil metagenome. RNAcentral's name for it is "partial contains 5.8S ribosomal RNA, internal transcribed spacer 2, and large subunit ribosomal RNA". The stretch from base 1 to 121 matches the Rfam family "5.8S ribosomal RNA", at positions 35 to 154 of the family's 154-position model. The record is from RNAcentral.